UACGUAGGGAGCAAGCGUUGUCCGGAAUCAUUGGGCGUAAAGCGCGCGUAGGUGGCCCCAUAAGUCCGCUGUGAAAGUCAAAGGCUCAACCUUUGAAAGCCGGUGGAUACUGUGGGACUAGAGUACGGAAGAGGCGAGUGGAAUUCUCGGUGUAGCGGUGAAAUGCGUAGAUAUCGAGAGGAACACCUGCGGCGAAGGCGGGUUGCUGGGCUGACACUGACGCUGAAGUGCGAAAGCUAGGGGAGCGAACGGG
RNAcentral lists this ribosomal RNA (253 nucleotides) under uncultured bacterium. Its description in RNAcentral is "partial 16S ribosomal RNA". It matches the Rfam family "Bacterial small subunit ribosomal RNA", at positions 524 to 776 of the family's 1533-position model. The record is from RNAcentral.